GGAGGAGCAGAAAGAAGGCCAGAGUGGCUGGAGAUCGUAAUGGGGAGAGAGUUACAAGAUGAGAGACCAGCACCAGCUGAUGCGGCCAGGCCAGGUCCCAGAAGUGACUGUGUCAGGAUGGAGGGUGGCCCUGGGCAUCCUGCCAUUGAAAGCUGAUUGGAGCUGGACCAGCUUAGGCCAGUCUAGAGCUGAGGAGUAUCAUCAAGAGCAGGACCCUCUGGAAUGUGGCUGUUUGUGGAAAGAGUCAAAGCCAUCGCGAUCUCCCCACUGGAAGACGUAACAGCCUCCCCACUGGCCUCCUGGCGUCCACGCCUGCCUCCCUCCCAUCCAUUUCCCCUGGAGAAGCCAGAGCCGUCUUUAAAAAAUAGAAAGGUCACGCCUAGUAUGUGCCAGGCGCUGUUCUGGUGCUGGGGCUCCAGCCGUGCAAGCUACACUUGCGUCACUCCAGCAGGACAAAAAUUAAAAUACCAAGUGUGGUAAUGGGGGUAGGACAACGGGAGUGGUCUGCCCCAGGGGCCGG
This 520-nucleotide long non-coding RNA is filed under the name Equus asinus (donkey). RNAcentral's name for it is "lncRNA (ENSEASG00005038304.1)". Lineage: Eukaryota; Metazoa; Chordata; Mammalia; Perissodactyla; Equidae. The record is from RNAcentral.